GCGUCGGAUGACAGCUGGAUUCAUGGGAAUGGCAGUGGCCAUCAUCCUGUUUGGCUGGAUAAUCGGGAUCUUGGGUUGCUGUUGGGAUCGGGGCCUGAUGCAGUAUGUGGCUGGCUUGCUGUUCCUGAUGGGAGGGACCUCUUGCAUCAUCUCUCU
This is a non-coding RNA of Chiloscyllium plagiosum (whitespotted bambooshark), 156 nucleotides long. The record is from RefSeq and is a predicted model, not a curated record. NCBI's taxonomy places the organism in Eukaryota, Metazoa, Chordata, Chondrichthyes, Orectolobiformes, Hemiscylliidae.